AUCCUGAAUUCAUAAACCACUUUACCCUUUCAUCGGUUACGCCUAUAUUCUCCUCCUUUCAGGCUCCAUUCAUUUCAGACUUUCUCUCUAAAAAAACAAAAUGUUUCCGCCUUGAAUGUCUCAAUCCGAGAAAAGGAAGAUGAAGAAGUGAAAGAACAGGCCAAAUCCAGAAGAAGAGGAAGAUGAAGAAGUCGCAGCGGUAAACGAUGAAGAAAUUGGGGGCCAAAGUGAAAACUUUGAGGAAAGAGAAGAAGAAGAGGCUCCAAAAGCUAAGAAGAAGAAGAAGAAGGUAAAGAAGACUACGGAUGAGAUUGAUGAAGAAGCCGGGGAUGAAAGUGCAAAAGAAGUGGUGGAAAAAGAAGCUCCGAAAUCUAACAAUGGGUCGAGCAUAAUGACACCGAAGCCCUUUUCCAAACUACCCAUCUCGAAGGAGACGAUGAUGGCUAUCAAGGAGAUGGGAUUUGAGAAUAUGACGCGGAUUCAAGCUAGAGCUAUUCCGCAUUUACUGCAAGGCAAGGAUGUUAUGGGAGCUGCACAAACGGGUUCCGGAAAGACUCUUGCUUUCUUGAUACCGGCAGUGGAAUUAUUGCACCACCUCAAGUUUACUCAUUGGAAUGGAACUGGAGUCAUCAUCAUUUGCCCAACUAGAGAACUUGCUAUUCAAACACAUAGAGUGCAAAGGACCUUCUGAAAUACCAUUCACAGACUCUUGGGUAUGUGAUUGGUGGUGCGGCCCGAAGAGGAGAAGCAGAGCACCUUGCAAAGGGAGUAAAUGUUUUAGUAGCUGCCCCUGGUAGAUUGCUUGAUCACAUUCAAAAUACAAAAGGAUUCAUCUUCAAAAUUUUGAUGGCACAAUAUGGCAGCUUUACGGCAAAAAUAACUAAUAUCUUAAAUAGGCAUGAGGCUUGGUACUACUCUUGCAAAGGCUGCAAUAAAAAAGUAGAAAAACCUAUUUAUGACAAAUGUCAAAAUUGGAAAAAAACAAUGAAGAUUGUAUACCAAGGUAUGCGGUUAAAAUCAUAGUUGAAGAUGCGACAGAUAAUGCAAGAGUAACACUUUUUGAUGCAGCAGAAACUUUGAUAGGAUGCAAGCCUCAAAAAUUCAUGGCUGAUAUAAAAGAGAAAAAUAAUCAGAGUUCAUUCUUUUAAAAGUUUGUUCUCAACAUCGGAAAGACAUACAAGUUCCUUGUAAAGUUGGAUGAGAACUCAAAGGAUGAACGUGCACAAGGAAAGAUAAUAGCACAAGAAAUCCAACUCCAAGAAGACAUCACAAUCAACAUUGAUGACGAUGAUUCAGUUCUCAAUUUACCAAAAAUGAAGAUAAAGAUGGAGAAGUCUUGAUCAAGAGCCCACAAAAAUUAAACAUGAACAAUUUUUAAUUUUCAUUACAUUUACAAAUUGGUUGAAGGAUUUCGAAUGAACUUUUCAUAUGCUUUUAAGAUUAUGAACUGAUGAAUUUAAUUUGUUAGGACAAAUUAUGAUUUAUAAACAUAUGCUCAUAUAGUUGUCUGAUAACUAUUGCAUGCUUUGAUUGUUAUUGUAGUUAUUAGCUUAAAUUUAACAUUCAAUUGUGUUAAUCUAAAUACAUAUUCAGAUAAUAGUUCACUUUAUUACUUUAAAUUUUCAUGUCAACUAUUUUUUACUUAUCUAUACUGCACACAAACUAUUGUUGAUGAGUCCUUUGCAAGAAAUCUGAUGACCAAGCACAGAUUCCUGAAACUUUUGAGAGGAAACAAUAGCUUUCUACAGAGAAGGUUAUCAGUGUUCUUAAAAGGAUAAUCAAUGAAGAUUGCCUACUACUAGGUUUCAAACCGAAAGAAGAUCGUCCAGCUUGUAUGAUAUUACGAAUUCUUCCUAUUCAAACACCUACUGUAAGACCAUCUGUUAUGAUGGACAACUCUACUAGAAGUGAGGUAAA
This is a long non-coding RNA of Asparagus officinalis (garden asparagus), 1917 nucleotides long. RefSeq lists it as uncharacterized. Lineage: Eukaryota; Viridiplantae; Streptophyta; Magnoliopsida; Asparagales; Asparagaceae. The record is from RefSeq and is a predicted model, not a curated record. The transcript has 7 exons.